This 72-nucleotide transfer RNA is filed under the name Camelus ferus (Wild Bactrian camel). It matches the Rfam family "tRNA". Rfam says of the family: Transfer RNA (tRNA) molecules are approximately 80 nucleotides in length. Their secondary structure includes four short double-helical elements and three loops (D, anti-codon, and T loops). The record is from Rfam by way of RNAcentral. Lineage: Eukaryota; Metazoa; Chordata; Mammalia; Artiodactyla; Camelidae.
GAGGGUAUAGCUCAAUGGUAGAGCACAUGGCUAGCAUGCAGGAGGUCCUGGGUUCAACCCCUAGUACCUCCU